GCGUGCUAAGGUAGUGGCCUAGGCCAGUGAAUGGCAAGACUAGGAAUAACUGUACUUUGUGUAUGAAAAAAAACUUUUCAUCUAAGUGAAAAGACUUAGAUAAUAAAGGAAGACAAAAAGACCCCGCGGAACUUUACCUUUUCUCAUACUUCUGUCUACAAACUUAAAGGUUUAUAAGGUUUGAUUGGGGCAAUCUUGGAACCAAUAAAGCUUCCAAUUUUUUUAAAAGAAUAUUAAAAAUUUACUAAGGACUAAAAAGUAGUUACCCCGGGGAUAACAGCGUAAUCCAACUAAAGAGUACACAUCGAAAGUUGGGUUUGCGACCUCGAUGUUGGCUUAAGGAUAUCCACAUAAGUGCAACCGCUAUGACAGGACAGUCUGUUCGACUAUUAUACCCUUACAUGAGCUGAGUUAAGACCGGCGCAAGCUAGGUUGGUUCUAUCUCCUUUACCUCAAACCUUAUCUUGAUGUACGAAGAC
Molecule: ribosomal RNA, 479 nt
Filed under: Inversiunio jokohamensis
Lineage: Eukaryota; Metazoa; Mollusca; Bivalvia; Unionida; Unionidae
Description: partial 16S ribosomal RNA
Rfam family: Bacterial large subunit ribosomal RNA (bases 104-450)
Source: RNAcentral